Molecule: ribosomal RNA, 496 nt
Filed under: uncultured bacterium
Lineage: Bacteria
Description: partial 16S ribosomal RNA
Rfam family: Bacterial small subunit ribosomal RNA
Source: RNAcentral
GAUGAACGCUGGCGGCGUGCCUAAUACAUGCAAGUCGAGCGAACAGACGAGGAGCUUGCUCCUCUGACGUUAGCGGCGGACGGGUGAGUAACACGUGGAUAACCUACCUAUAAGACUGGGAUAACUUCGGGAAACCGGAGCUAAUACCGGAUAAUAUAUUGAACCGCAUGGUUCAAUAGUGAAAGACGGUUUUGCUGUCACUUAUAGAUGGAUCCGCGCCGCAUUAGCUAGUCGGUAAGGUAACGGCUUACCAAGGCAACGAUGCGUAGCCGACCUGAGAGGGUGAUCGGCCACACUGGAACUGAGACACGGUCCAGACUCCUACGGGAGGCAGCAGUAGGGAAUCUUCCGCAAUGGGCGAAAGCUUGACGGAGCAACGCCGCGUGAGUGAUGAAGGUCUUCGGAUCGUAAAACUCUGUUAUUAGGGAAGAACAAAUGUGUAAGUAACUAUGCACGUCUUGACGGUACCUAAUCAGAAAGCCACGGCUAACUACGU